GUUCCAGUGCUUUUUCCUGUGCCUUUACCAUCUCCUGCAGCUCCAGGAACAUAGUCAGCUCGUCUUGUUCCUUGAGGCUCCCUCCCUCCUCCUCCUCCUCUGUGUUAUUAUCUAUCUCCUUCUCUUUUAUUUGUUUCUCUUCCUCAGGUGUCUUCAGCAUCUCCUCUUGUCUCUUCACAAGUUCCUGCAGCUCGAGGAACAAAGACAACUCGUCUUGUUCUUUGAGAUUUACUCCUUCUUCCUCCUCCUCCUCCUCCUCCUCCUCAAUGUUCUUCUCAUCCUUCUCCCUCUCUUUGAUUUGCUCCCUGUCCUCAGGUUGCUUCAGCAUCUCCUCCUGUCUCUUCACAAGUUCCAUCAGUUCGAGGAACGAUGAUAACUCGCCCUGCUCUUUGCGGCUCUCUCCUUCCUCCUCCUUCUGUUUGAUAUGCUCCCCGUCCCCUGAUUGCUU
This is a long non-coding RNA of Eriocheir sinensis (Chinese mitten crab), 448 nucleotides long. RefSeq lists it as uncharacterized. The record is from RefSeq and is a predicted model, not a curated record. NCBI's taxonomy places the organism in Eukaryota, Metazoa, Arthropoda, Malacostraca, Decapoda, Varunidae. The transcript has 3 exons.